GCAUUGCGCGUCUUACCAUGCAGUCGAACGAUGAUGCUCCAGCUUGCUGGGGUGGAUUAGUGGCGAACGGGUGAGUAAUACGUGAGUAACCUGCCCUUGACUCUGGGAUAAGCCUGGGAAACUGGGUCUAAUACUGGAUACUACAUAUCUUCGCAUGGGGGUGUGUGGAAAGGGUUUUACUGGUUUUGGAUGGGCUCACGGCCUAUCAGCUUGUUGGUGGGGUAAUGGCCUACCAAGGCGACGACGGGUAGCCGGCCUGAGAGGGUGACCGGCCACACUGGGACUGAGACACGGCCCAGACUCCUACGGGAGGCAGCAGUGGGGAAUAUUGCACAAUGGGCGAAAGCCUGAUGCAGCGACGCCGCGUGAGGGAUGACGGCCUUCGGGUUGUAAACCUCUUUCAGCACGGAAGAAGCGAAAGUGACGGUACGUGCAGAAGAAGCGCCGGCUAACUACGUGCCAGCAGCCGCGGUAAUACGUAGGGCGCAAGCGUUGUCCGGAAUUAUUGGGCGUAAAGAGCUCGUAGGCGGUUUGUCGCGUCUGCUGUGAAAGCCCGGGGCUUAACCCCGUGGUGUGCAGUGGGUACGGGCAGACUAGAGUGCAGUAGGGGAGACUGGAAUUCCUGGUGUAGCGGUGAAAUGCGCAGAUAUCAGGAGGAACACCGAUGGCGAAGGCAGGUCUCUGGGCUGUUACUGACGCUGAGGAGCGAAAGCAUGGGGAGCGAACAGGAUUAGAUACCCUGGUAGUCCAUGCCGUAAACGUUGGGCACUAGGUGUGGGGGACAUUCCACGUUUUCCGCG
Molecule: ribosomal RNA, 800 nt
Filed under: Kocuria sp. JSM 2215041
Lineage: Bacteria; Bacillati; Actinomycetota; Actinomycetes; Micrococcales; Micrococcaceae
Description: bacterial SSU rRNA
Rfam family: Bacterial small subunit ribosomal RNA
Source: RNAcentral